This 325-nucleotide ribosomal RNA is filed under the name uncultured eukaryote. RNAcentral describes it as "partial 18S ribosomal RNA". It matches the Rfam family "Eukaryotic small subunit ribosomal RNA", at positions 1470 to 1796 of the family's 1831-position model. The record is from RNAcentral.
CCCUUAGAUGUUCUGGGCCGCACGCGCGCUACACUGAUGCAUUCAACAAGCCUAGCCUUGACCGAGAGGUCCGGGUAAUCUUUGAAACUGCAUCGUGAUGGGGCUAGAUUAUUGCAAUUAUUAAUCUUCAACGAGGAAUGCCUAGUAGCGUGAUUCAUCAAAUCGCGUUGAUUACGUCCCUGCCCUUUGUACACACCGCCCGUCGCUCCUACCGAUUGAAUGUGUUGGUGAGGAGCUCGGAUUGGCAGCAGUUGGUGGUUCGCCACCGGCUAUUGCUGAGAAGUCCUCCAAACCGCCCCAUUUAGAGGAAGGAGAAGUCGUAACA